GGUUAAGCGACUAAGCGUACACGGUGGAUGCCCUGGCAGUCAGAGGCGAUGAAGGACGUGCUAAUCUGCGAUAAGCGUCGGUAAGGUGAUAUGAACCGUUAUAACCGGCGAUUUCCGAAUGGGGAAACCCAGUGUGUUUCGACACACUAUCAUUAACUGAAUCCAUAGGUUAAUGAGGCGAACCGGGGGAACUGAAACAUCUAAGUACCCCGAGGAAAAGAAAUCAACCGAGAUUCCCCCAGUAGCGGCGAGCGAACGGGGAGGAGCCCAGAGCCUGAAUCAGUGUGUGUGUUAGUGGAAGCGUCUGGAAAGGCGCGCGAUACAGGGUGACAGCCCCGUACACAAAAAUGCACAUGCUGUGAGCUCGAUGAGUAGGGCGGGACACGUGGUAUCCUGUCUGAAUAUGGGGGGACCAUCCUCCAAGGCUAAAUACUCCUGACUGACCGAUAGUGAACCAGUACCGUGAGGGAAAGGCGAAAAGAACCCCGGCGAGGGGAGUGAAAAAGAACCUGAAACCGUGUACGUACAAGCAGUGGGAGCACGCUUAGGCGUGUGACUGCGUACCUUUUGUAUAAUGGGUCAGCGACUUAUAUUCUGUAGCAAGGUUAACCGAAUAGGGGAGCCGAAGGGAAACCGAGUCUUAACUGGGCGUUAAGUUGCAGGGUAUAGACCCGAAACCCGGUGAUCUAGCCAUGGGCAGGUUGAAGGUUGGGUAACACUAACUGGAGGACCGAACCGACUAAUGUUGAAAAAUUAGCGGAUGACUUGUGGCUGGGGGUGAAAGGCCAAUCAAACCGGGAGAUAGCUGGUUCUCCCCGAAAGCUAUUUAGGUAGCGCCUCGUGAAUUCAUCUCCGGGGGUAGAGCACUGUUUCGGCAAGGGGGUCAUCCCGACUUACCAACCCGAUGCAAACUGCGAAUACCGGAGAAUGUUAUCACGGGAGACACACGGCGGGUGCUAACGUCCGUCGUGAAGAGGGAAACAACCCAGACCGCCAGCUAAGGUCCCAAAGUCAUGGUUAAGUGGGAAACGAUGUGGGAAGGCCCAGACAGCCAGGAUGUUGGCUUAGAAGCAGCCAUCAUUUAAAGAAAGCGUAAUAGCUCACUGGUCGAGUCGGCCUGCGCGGAAGAUGUAACGGGGCUAAACCAUGCACCGAAGCUGCGGCAGCGACGCUUAUGCGUUGUUGGGUAGGGGAGCGUUCUGUAAGCCUGUGAAGGUGUGCUGUGAGGCAUGCUGGAGGUAUCAGAAGUGCGAAUGCUGACAUAAGUAACGAUAAAGCGGGUGAAAAGCCCGCUCGCCGGAAGACCAAGGGUUCCUGUCCAACGUUAAUCGGGGCAGGGUGAGUCGACCCCUAAGGCGAGGCCGAAAGGCGUAGUCGAUGGGAAACAGGUUAAUAUUCCUGUACUUGGUGUUACUGCGAAGGGGGGACGGAGAAGGCUAUGUUGGCCGGGCGACGGUUGUCCCGGUUUAAGCGUGUAGGCUGGUUUUCCAGGCAAAUCCGGAAAAUCAAGGCUGAGGCGUGAUGACGAGGCACUACGGUGCUGAAGCAACAAAUGCCCUGCUUCCAGGAAAAGCCUCUAAGCAUCAGGUAACAUCAAAUCGUACCCCAAACCGACACAGGUGGUCAGGUAGAGAAUACCAAGGCGCUUGAGAGAACUCGGGUGAAGGAACUAGGCAAAAUGGUGCCGUAACUUCGGGAGAAGGCACGCUGAUAUGUAGGUGAAGUCCCUCGCGG
Molecule: ribosomal RNA, 1734 nt
Filed under: Escherichia coli
Lineage: Bacteria; Pseudomonadati; Pseudomonadota; Gammaproteobacteria; Enterobacterales; Enterobacteriaceae
Description: partial 23S ribosomal RNA
Rfam family: Bacterial large subunit ribosomal RNA
Source: RNAcentral